Molecule: transfer RNA, 72 nt
Filed under: Oscillospiraceae bacterium
Lineage: Bacteria; Bacillati; Bacillota; Clostridia; Eubacteriales; Oscillospiraceae
Description: tRNA-Arg
Rfam family: tRNA
About the family: Transfer RNA (tRNA) molecules are approximately 80 nucleotides in length. Their secondary structure includes four short double-helical elements and three loops (D, anti-codon, and T loops).
Source: RNAcentral
GUCUCCUUAGUUAAAUGGAUAUAACGAGUCCCUCCUAAGGAUUAGUUAUCGGUUCGAUUCCGGUAGGGGACA